RNAcentral lists this long non-coding RNA (208 nucleotides) under Mytilus galloprovincialis (Mediterranean mussel). Lineage: Eukaryota; Metazoa; Mollusca; Bivalvia; Mytilida; Mytilidae. The record is from RNAcentral.
GUGGGUAUUUUUCUUGUUCUUGUAUUUCUAAAGUUUUUUUAUUAAUAAUUUGGAACCAAAUCGAAGGACUAACGAGUUCUGUCCCCUUGUUGUUUUAAGCUUGUAAUAGAUUCAGAUUAAGUAUGCUAAUUAGAUAUGUGCGCAUAAAAAGUGCGCACAAAUCUCAGUGUGUAAUUUUAAAUUCUCAGUGUGUAAUUUUAAAUUCUCA